AGAAUCAACGCUGGCGGCGUGCCUAACACAUGCAAGUCGAACGAGAAAGUGGAGCAAUCCAUGAGUAAAGUGGCGACCGGGUGAGUAACACGUGACUAACCUACCUUCGAGUGGGGGAUAACCUCGGGAAACCGAGGCUAAUACCGCAUAACAUCGUGAGAUCAAAGCAGUAAUGCGCUGGAAGAGGGGGUCGCGGCUGAUUAGCUAGUUGGCGGGGUAAUGGCCCACCAAGACUGUGAUCGGUA
Molecule: ribosomal RNA, 245 nt
Filed under: uncultured bacterium
Lineage: Bacteria
Description: partial small subunit ribosomal RNA
Rfam family: Bacterial small subunit ribosomal RNA
Source: RNAcentral